RNAcentral lists this unclassified non-coding RNA (331 nucleotides) under soil metagenome. Its description in RNAcentral is "partial contains 5.8S ribosomal RNA, internal transcribed spacer 2, and large subunit ribosomal RNA". The stretch from base 1 to 120 matches the Rfam family "5.8S ribosomal RNA", at positions 35 to 154 of the family's 154-position model. The record is from RNAcentral.
GAUGAAGAACGUAGCGAAAUGCGAUAAGUAAUGUGAAUUGCAGAAUUCAGUGAAUCAUCGAAUCUUUGAACGCACAUUGCGCCCUCUGGUAUUCCGGGGGGCAUGCCUGUUCGAGCGUCAUUAUAACCACUCAAGCUCUCGCUUGGUAUUGGGGUUCGCGGUUUCGCGGCCCCUAAAAUCAGUGGCGGUGCCUGUCGGCUCUACGCGUAGUAAUACUCCUCGCGAUUGAGUCCGGUAGGUCUACUUGCCAGCAACCCCUAAUUUUUUUUAAGGUUGACCUCGGAUCAGGUAGGGAUACCCGCUGAACUUAAGCAUAUCAAUAAGCGGAGGA